RNAcentral lists this ribosomal RNA (468 nucleotides) under uncultured bacterium. RNAcentral describes it as "partial 16S ribosomal RNA". It matches the Rfam family "Bacterial small subunit ribosomal RNA", at positions 28 to 507 of the family's 1533-position model. The record is from RNAcentral.
GACGAACGCUGGCGGCGUGCUUAACACAUGCAAGUCGAACGGAAAGGCCCUGCUUUUGUUGGUUGCUCGAGUGGCGAACGGGUGAGUAACACGUGAGUAACCUGCCCUUGACUUUGGGAUAACUUCAGGAAACUGGGGCUAAUACCGGAUAGGAGCUCCUGCUGCCUGUUGGGGGUUGGAAAGGUUCGGCGGUUGGUGAUGUACUCGCAGCUUAUCAGCUUGUUGGUGGGGUAGUGGCUUACCAAGGCUUUGACGGGUAGCCGGCCUGAGAGUGUGACCGGCCACAUUGGGACUGAGAUACGGCCCAGACUCCUACGGGAAGCAGCAGUGGGGAAUAUUGCACAAUGGGCGGAAGCCUGAUGCAGCAACGCCGCGUGCGGGAUGACGGCCUUCGGGUUGUAAACCGCUUUCGCCUGUGACGAAGCGUGAGUGACGGUAAUGGGUAAAGAAGCACCGGCUAACUACGUG